This 490-nucleotide ribosomal RNA is filed under the name uncultured bacterium. RNAcentral's name for it is "partial 16S ribosomal RNA". It matches the Rfam family "Bacterial small subunit ribosomal RNA", at positions 30 to 507 of the family's 1533-position model. The record is from RNAcentral.
AUUGAACGCUGGCGGCAGGCCUAACACAUGCAAGUCGAACGGUAACAGGAAGCAGCUUGCUGCUUCGCUGACGAGUGGCGGACGGGUGAGUAAUGUCUGGGAAACUGCCUGAUGGAGGGGGAUAACUACUGGAAACGGUAGCUAAUACCGCAUAACGUCGCAAGACCAAAGAGGGGGACCUUAGGGCCUCUUGCCAUCGGAUGUGCCCAGAUGGGAUUAGCUAGUAGGUGGGGUAACGGCUCACCUAGGCGACGAUCCCUAGCUGGUCUGAGAGGAUGACCAGCCACACUGGAACUGAGACACGGUCCAGACUCCUACGGGAGGCAGCAGUGGGGAAUAUUGCACAAUGGGCGCAAGCCUGAUGCAGCCAUGCCGCGUGUAUGAAGAAGGCCUUCGGGUUGUAAAGUACUUUCAGCGGGGAGGAAGGGAGUAAAGUUAAUACCUCUGCUCAUUGACGUUACCCGCAGAAGAAGCACCGGCUAACUCCGUG